UCCGAAUUUGUGUCCGAAAAAUCCGAAUUUAGGAGGUCAGGAUCAAGGAGCCAGGUGUGAAAUCCGUCAGGAGGGGAAAAAAUCCGGAUUUGUUUCCAAAAAAUCUGAAUUGCUGUCUGAAAAAUCCGGAUUUGUGUCCAAAAUAAUCCGAAUUUGUGUCAAAGAAUCAGAAUUUGUGUCUGAAAAAUCCGAAUUUAGCAGGUCAGGAUCAAGGAGCCAAGGGGAUGCUCUAGGAGAGAGAAAAAUUUGGGUUGGUGUCUAAAAAAUCCGAAUUUCUGUCCGAAAAAUCCGAAUUUAGGAGGUCAGGAUCAAGGAGCCAGGUGUGAAAUCCGUCAGGAGGGGAAAAAAUCCGGAUUUGUGUUCAAAAAAAUCUGAAUUUGUGUCAAAAAAAUCCGAAUUUAGGAGGUCAGGGUCAAGGAGCCAGGUGUGAAAUCCGUCAGGAGGGAAAAAAAUCCGGAUUUGUGUCCGAAAAAUCCGGAUUUGUGUCCAAAAUAAUCCAAAUUUGUGUCAAAAAAUCCGAAUUUGUGUCCAAUAAUCCGAAUUUAGGAGGUCAGGAUCAAGGAGCCAGGUGUAAAAUCCUUCAGGAGGGAGAAAAAUUCCGAUUUGUGUCCAAAAAAAAUCUGAAUUUGUGUCAAAAAAACGGAAUGAACCAGGUCAGGGUCAAGGAGCCAGGCGUGAAAUCCUGCAGUGCCAAGGAAAAUCGGAUUUGUCUCUUUAAAAAUCCGAAUUCCAGAAACAUCCGAGUGGAUUUGUCUCUUAAAAAUUUCAAAUUCCAGAAGGAUCAAACCAGAUUUGUCUCAAAAAAAUCCAAAUUUUAGAAGAAUCAGACCGGAUUUGUCUCUUAAAAAAAUCCAAAAUUUCAGAAGGAUCAAACCAAAUUUGUCUGCAAAGGAAAUCCAAAUUUCAGAAGGAUCCGAGUGGAUUUGUCCCUUAAAAAAUUCAAAAUUCCAGAAGGAUCCAAGUGGAUUUGUCUCUUAAAAAUUGCAAAUUUCAGAAGGAUCCAACCAGAUUUGUCUCCAAAAAAUCCAAAAUUUCAGAAGGGUCAAACCAAAUUUGUCUGCAAAGGAAAUCCAAAUUCCAGAAGGAUUCGAGUGGAUCUGUCCCCAAAAAAAAUCCAGAUUUCAGAAGGAUCCGAUCACUCAGGUGCAAAAUCCUCCAAGACGGAAUAAACCCGAGAUUUGUGUCCAAAAUAAUCCAAAUUUCCAACGGGUCCGAGCAGCUCCUUGGGAGGAGAAGGCAGAGCUGGGUUCGGGAUUUGUUUGGAAUUUUGGGAGAAGGAGCCGAGUCCAUGGAGCGCCCCAGAAAUCCCGGAGGCCUAAACCCGGCCUAAAACUGGUUUUAAAGGCACUCGGUGCCUCCUAAAUCAGGCUUGAAACUGGUUUUAUUCUGCUCCCAAAAAUCCGGCUUGAAGCUGGUUUUAAAGGCACACAAGGCGUCCAAAAUCCGGCUUGAAAGUGGUUUAAUUCUGCCCCCCAAAAUCUGGCUUGAAACUGCUUCCACUCUUCCUCCCUAAAUCCGGCUUGAAACUGGUUUUAAAGGCACUCAGUGCCUCCUAAAUCAGGCUUGAAACUGGUUUUAUUCUGCUCCCCAAAAUCCGGCUUGAAGCUGGUUUUAUUUUGCCAGCAAAAUCAGGCCUAAAACUGGUUUUAAAGGCACUCGGUGCCUCCUAAAUCUGGCUUGAAACUGGUUCCACUCUUCUGCCCUAAAUCCGGUUUGAAAGUGUUUUUAUUCUCCUCAAAUCCGGCUUGGAACUGGGUUUUCAAAGCACUCAGCAACCCCAAAACUGACCUUGAAACCGGUUUUACUCUGUCCCCUCUGCUCCCCCCAAAUCGGAUUUAAACCUGGUUUCACACUGCCCCUCCAAAUCCGGCUUGAAACUGGUUUUAAAGGCACUCAGACCCCCUGAUUGGGUUUUAAACUGGUUUUAAAGGUGCUCAGCCCCACAGAUCGGGUUUAAAACUGGUUUUAAAGGCACUCAGCCCCCCCGAUCGGGUUUUAAACCGGUUUUAAAGGAACUCAGCCCGCCAGAUCGGGUUUUAAACUGGUUUUAAAGGUGCUCAGCCCCCCAGAUUUGGUUUAAAACUGGUUUUAAAGGUGCUCAGCCCCCCAGAUCGGGUUUUAAACUGGUUUUAAAGGUGCUCAGUCCCACAGAUCGGGUUUAAAACCGGUUUUAAAGGUCCUGCAGGAAGGCAGCCAAGGGCUGAGCUCGGCUCAGAACCCCGAGCCCGGCCCGUCCAUCCCCUCCGGAAUUCUGCGGCUCCGGGGAUGAAUCCUCAUCCUUCCCUCGGGGCAUUCCGGGGACCCGCGGGCAUCGCGCUCAGCCCUGGAGGGAGGAAUCGGAUCCCUCACAGCCCAAAAAAACAAUCCCAAAAAACCCCC
Ficedula albicollis (Collared flycatcher) is the source of this 2379-nucleotide long non-coding RNA. RefSeq lists it as uncharacterized. The record is from RefSeq and is a predicted model, not a curated record. The transcript has 2 exons. Lineage: Eukaryota; Metazoa; Chordata; Aves; Passeriformes; Muscicapidae.